Acanthosepion pharaonis is the source of this 109-nucleotide non-coding RNA. Lineage: Eukaryota; Metazoa; Mollusca; Cephalopoda; Sepiida; Sepiidae. The record is from the annotation of a GenBank genome assembly.
UCCGUAUCAUGUUGAAACACCGGUUACCGUACGAUUACCGAAGGUAAGCAACACCGAGUCUGGUCUGUACCGAGAUGGUUGACAGCCUGGAAAUACUAGGUGCUGUUAU